CGGAAGCUGCUAUCUGACUGUAAACUGACCGUUAGCCGCGGCUGCUAAGAGCUAACAGAUGUCGGUGUGUGUUCAGAGAUGAACCGGAAACAGCUAGCAUGUAAUGUGAUAUUCCAGUCGACACCAAUCUAAUGGAUAACACCGACACUAACUUAAGUUAACGACCAAAGUUUUAGAGAAAAACAACUCACUGUGCUUCGCGAGAAAGACGCGUGCUUUGAGGCGCUUCCGGGUUUGCGCACAUCAUAUUUGCGUCACACCAGAGAGUCGGUGGGUUUUGUUUUUUGUUUUGUUUUUUUAAAUUGAAAGUGUUUGUUAAACAUUACAUGAAUACAUAUACCAGGGCCCUGUUUCAGAAACCCGGUUUAGAAAACUCAGAGUUAAAAAUGAUACUCAGGGUUGAGUAACCCCGAACUGUCCAACUCGGAAUAUUCGGUUUCAGAAAGGCUGAUAACAAUUAGUUCAAUCAACGCGGAGUUGCUUUAACCCCAAGUUAAGCACGCGCAUAAAGCCCUGAUUAGUGGAGCACAGAUUAAGCGAGUCGCCAUGGAGACGGAGGGAAAGAAGGCGCGGCCAAUGUAUUUUACAGCGCUUGAGGCCGAAAUUCUGAUGGCAGCAUAUGCCGAUAACAUGCAAAUUUUGCGGAAAAAAAGUAACACAGCCUCAGCUGCAAAAGAAAGGGAGCAUGCAUGGCAAUACAUAGCCGACAGAGUCAAUGCGUGAGUGUUAAUUUAAAAAUUGAUCUAGGGAUUUCCACCCAUUUAACACGUUAUUUUAUUAUAUUUCAUUUUAUUUUUUAUUUUUUAUUUUAUACAUUUUAUUUUGUGAUGUGAUGUGAGCGCAUGUGCAACCCAACAGGCCCCAAACGUUCCUGGCAGCAAGUAAAAAUGAAAUAUAAAAAAUGUAGAGGAAGAGAGGUCCAGCCACUUCUCCAACAAACCUUUCCUCACUCCCUGUAAAGCAGCUGUACAAGACCUGUUUGAUCAAGAAAAUAAAAAAAUGCCUUUUGGAAAUGGAACACUUCAAGCAGCAGAAUGGAAUGUGAGUGCCAUCUAUACAGCCAAUCACGCCUGGGAACCCUGAAAAUAAAUGUAAAAUCUAAGUAGUAGUGUUAAAAUCUCCCAAUUCUUUUAAUCUUUGGGCUGAAGGAAG
Oreochromis aureus is the source of this 1152-nucleotide long non-coding RNA. Lineage: Eukaryota; Metazoa; Chordata; Actinopteri; Cichliformes; Cichlidae. The record is from Ensembl.